GACGAACGCUGGCGGCGUGCUUAACACAUGCAAGUCGAACGGAAAGGCCCUGCUUUUGUGGGGUGCUCGAGUGGCGAACGGGUGAGUAACACGUGAGUAACCUGCCCUUGACUUUGGGAUAACUUCAGGAAACUGGGGCUAAUACCGGAUAGGAGCUCCUGCUGCAUGGUGGGGGUUGGAAAGUUUCGGCGGUUGGGGAUGGACUCGCGGCUGAUCAGCUUGUUGGUGGGGUAGUGGCUUACCAAGGCUUUGCCGGGUAGCCGGCCUGAGAGGGUGACCGGCCUCAUUGGGACUGAGAUACGGCCCAGACUCCUACGGGAGGCAGCAGUGGGGAAUAUUGCACAAUGGGCGGAAGCCUGAUGCAGCAACGCCGCGUGCGGGAUGACGGCCUUCGGGUUGUAAACCGCUUUCGCCUGUGACGAAGAGUGAGUGACGGUAAUGGGUAAAGAAGCACCGGCUAACUACGUG
This 468-nucleotide ribosomal RNA is filed under the name uncultured bacterium. Its description in RNAcentral is "partial 16S ribosomal RNA". It matches the Rfam family "Bacterial small subunit ribosomal RNA", at positions 28 to 507 of the family's 1533-position model. The record is from RNAcentral.